GGCGAACGGGUGCGUAACACGUGGGCAAUCUGCCUUAAAGUGGGGGAUAGCUCGGCGAAAGCCGGAUUAAUACCGCAUGUGAUGAGGGGAGACAUCUUCCCAAAAUCAAAGUCGGGGCAACCUGACGCUUUUUGAGGAGCCCGCGGCCUAUCAGCUAGUUGGUGAGGUAAUGGCUCACCAAGGCUUUGACGGGUAGCUGGCCUGAGAGGACGACCAGUCACACUGGAACUGAGACACGGUCCAGACACAAUACGGGUGGCAGCAGUCGAGAAUUUUUCUCAAUGGGGGAAACCCUGAAGGAGCGACGCCGCGUGGAGGAUGAAGGUCUUCGGGUUGUAAACUCCUGUCAUUUGGGAACAAGUGCCGGUACCUAACUGCUACCGGCUUGAUAGUACCAGAAGAGGAAGGGACGGCUAACUCUGUGCCAGCAGCCGCGG
Molecule: ribosomal RNA, 437 nt
Filed under: uncultured bacterium
Lineage: Bacteria
Description: bacterial SSU rRNA
Rfam family: Bacterial small subunit ribosomal RNA
Source: RNAcentral